GGGGCUGGGGCUCAGUGGUAGAGCGCUUGCCUGGCAUGCAUGAGGCACUGGGUUUGAGCUUUAGCACCA
RNAcentral lists this transfer RNA (69 nucleotides) under Ictidomys tridecemlineatus (thirteen-lined ground squirrel). RNAcentral's name for it is "Spermophilus tridecemlineatus (thirteen-lined ground squirrel) tRNA". It matches the Rfam family "tRNA". From Rfam's summary of the family: Transfer RNA (tRNA) molecules are approximately 80 nucleotides in length. Their secondary structure includes four short double-helical elements and three loops (D, anti-codon, and T loops). The record is from Rfam by way of RNAcentral. Lineage: Eukaryota; Metazoa; Chordata; Mammalia; Rodentia; Sciuridae.